RNAcentral lists this ribosomal RNA (468 nucleotides) under uncultured bacterium. RNAcentral's name for it is "partial 16S ribosomal RNA". It matches the Rfam family "Bacterial small subunit ribosomal RNA", at positions 28 to 507 of the family's 1533-position model. The record is from RNAcentral.
GACGAACGCUGGCGGCGUGCUUAACACAUGCACGUCGAACGGAAAGGCCCUGCUUUUGGGGGGUGCUCGAGUGGCGAACGGGUGAGUAACACGUGAGUAACCUGCCUUUGACUUUGGGAUAACUUCAGGAAACUGGGGCUAAUACCGGAUAGGAGCUCCUGCUGCAUGGUGGGGGUUGGAAAGUUUCGGCGGUUGGGGAUGGACUCCCGGCUUAUCAGCUUGUUGGUGGGGUAGUGGAUUACCAAGGCUUUGACGGGUAGCCGGCCUGAGAGGGUGACCGGCCACAUUGGGACUGAGAUACGGCCCAGACUCCUACGGGAGGCAGCAGUGGGGAAUCUUGCACAAUGGGCGGAAGCCUGAUGCAGCAACGCCGCGUGCGGGAUGACGGCCUUCGGGUUGUAAACCGCUUUCGCCUGUGACGAAGCGUGAGUGACGGUAAUGGGUAAAGAAGCACCGGCUAACUACGUG